UACAGAGGGUGCAAGCGUUGUUCGGAAUUAUUGGGCGUAAAGGGCGCGUAGGCGGUGCGGUAAGUCUGUUGUGAAAUCUCUGGGCUCAACUCAGAGUCUGCAACGGAAACUGCCGUGCUUGAGUAUGGGAGAGGUGAGUGGAAUUCCCGGUGUAGCGGUGAAAUGCGUAGAUAUCAGGAGGAACACCUGUGGCGAAAGCGGCUCACUGGACCAUAACUGACGCUGAGGCGCGAAAGCUAGGGGAGCAAACAGGAUUAGAAACCCGAGUAGUCC
This 273-nucleotide ribosomal RNA is filed under the name uncultured bacterium. RNAcentral's name for it is "partial 16S ribosomal RNA". It matches the Rfam family "Bacterial small subunit ribosomal RNA", at positions 524 to 796 of the family's 1533-position model. The record is from RNAcentral.